Molecule: unclassified non-coding RNA, 370 nt
Filed under: uncultured fungus
Lineage: Eukaryota; Fungi
Description: sequence contains ITS1
Rfam family: 5.8S ribosomal RNA (bases 1-105)
Source: RNAcentral
GAAAUGCGAUACGUAGUGUGAAUUGCAGAAUUCCGUGAACCAUCGAAUCUUUGAACGCAAAUUGCGCUCGAGGCCUCGGCCAAGAGCAUGUCUGCCUCAGCGUCGGCUACUACCCUCAACUAAAUUUCCAUUGUUUCAGUGGAAAGGCAGUUGGAUAUGGCUGUCCAGUCUACCCUUUGGGUUGCCGGUCAGCUGAAAUAUAUUCACGCUUUGGGGGCUGCUUUCCUUUCGAGGAAAGGCGAGUUCCGAUUUGGUAGGUGACCUUUGCCGGUUACAUGCCUUCGUUGCCCGCUAUGCUUCCCAUAAGUGUUGUGCAGGACGCCUUUUGGCUUUCGACCUGAGGUCAGGCAAGAACACCCGCUGAACUUAA